UUCCGGUUGAUCCUGCCGGAGGUCACUGCUAUUGGGAUUCGACUAAGCCAUGCGGGUCGUAUUGUCGGCCCUCGGCUGACGGCUCAGUAACACGUGGAUAAUCUAACCUAAAGUGGAGGAUAACCUCGGGAAACUGAGAAUAAUACUCCAUAGGUCUAGGAUGCUGGAAUGGUUCCUCACUUAGAAGAAUCGGUGCCUUAGGAUGAGUCUGCGGACUAUCAGGUUGUAGUCAGGGUAAAGACCUGACUAGCCUACGACGGAUACGGGUUGUGAGAGCACUAGCCCGGAGAUGAUAUCUGAGACACGAUAUCAGGCCCUACGGGGCGCAGCAGGCGCGAAAACUUCGCACUGUGCGAAAGCACGACGAGGGAAUCCCAAGUGCUGGCUCGUAAGAUCAGCUGUUUCUUUGUCUAAAAAACAGAGAGAGUAAGGGCUGGGUAAGAUCGGGUGCCAGCCGCCGCGGUAAUACCUGCAGCCCAAGUGGUGGCCGCUAUUAUUGGGCCUAAAACGUCCGUAGCCGGUUCUAUAAAUGCCUGGGUAAAUCGUACGGCUUAACCGUACGAAUUCCGGGUAGACUGUUCAACUUGGGACCGGGAGAGGCCAGAGGUACUCCUGGGGUAGGGGUAAAAUCCUGUAAUCCUCAGAGGACCACCAGUGGCGAAGGCGUUCUACUAGAACGGAUCCGACGGUCAGGGACGAAGCCCAGGGGCGCAAACAGGAUUAGAUACCCCGGUAGUCCUGGGUGUAAACGCUGCAGGCUUGGUGUCGGAGGUCCUACGGGGACGUCCGGUGCCGGAGCGAAGGUGUUAAGCCUGCUACUUGGGGAGUACGGUCGCAAGACUGAAACUUAAAGGAAUUGGCGGGAGAGCACCGCAACGGGAGGAGCGUGCGGUUCAAUUGGAUUCAACGCCGGA
Molecule: ribosomal RNA, 914 nt
Filed under: uncultured archaeon
Lineage: Archaea
Description: partial 16S ribosomal RNA
Rfam family: Archaeal small subunit ribosomal RNA
Source: RNAcentral